Molecule: long non-coding RNA, 1618 nt
Filed under: Anneissia japonica
Lineage: Eukaryota; Metazoa; Echinodermata; Crinoidea; Comatulida; Comatulidae
Description: uncharacterized LOC117114566
Source: RNAcentral
AUAACGUAUUACUAUGCUAAUAAGUCUUGCUGCAAUGUUGCGAUGAUUAUAGACGAUAAAAGGAAUUGAUUACAAGGCAUAAAAUAUAUACAUGCAUGCGUUUACGUGCGAGGAAGCUCCUGGAGACAUGUAUUCAAAGUCACCAUGGCUACUGUCAAAUCUGGCGACUUCGAAGUUUUAACGCAAUAAGGGUCGGAUCGAUUUUAUCGUUUCAUCAUUUGCUUUAAAAUAUUAACUGUGGUUUCUUCAUUUUUAUUCUCAACUGUUGGAUCCAUUUAAUUGGGAUAUCUCGCCUAGGAUUGCAGAACAUAUUCAAAAUGGAGUUUUACGGACGAAAAUGUUUGUCUUGGAUUACAGAUGCCAUAAACUGCUUCUACCUAGUUCAUGCAGAUGCUAUUUUGAUUUCAAUGUAUCUUACUAUCACUCAAAUAAAUUCUGUAAGUCACGUGUGCAAUAUUAUUCAUCAUCAACCGCCACUUUUUAUCCAGUGCUACUUUCGGGAGACGUGCAACCCAACCCAGGACCUCUAACUAACAUUAACAAUAACUCAUCAAGGAAAAAUAAUUAUGGUGACAGUAAGCGAAACAUAUCUUGCAUACUUUCAAACUGCCGUUGCAUUCGCAACAAAUCACUUGAUCUUGCCAUAUUCUGCACAUCUAAACCAUCUGGAUUAGACAUUAUCUGCGUUACCGAAACGUGGAUGCGGAGUUCUAAUGAUACUGCAAUGCUUCAUUUUGCCAAUCAGUAUGACAUUUUCCGAAGAGAUAGGAAUCAUCAAAAUUUGGGUGGUGGUAUCUUGAUUGGAAUCAAAUCAAACCAUACCUUACACCAAAAUUAAUUGACGUUGACCCCAGAAUCGAAAUGAUGUGGAUAUCAAUAUGCCAAGGUCACCUGUCGUGGCUCUUAGGGUUGGUCUAUAGGCCACCAGACUCUGCAGUUUCCUAUUGGACAGCCUUUGAAGAAUCAUUUGCCAGACUUGAGGCUGAAUUUAUCAAUUAUGAUGGCGUCAUCAUAUUAGGGGACUUCAAUACGCAUUGGCUUACUGCCCCACAUCAUCUAACUGAUAUUAUGGCAUCAUUUAACUUGAUCAGCUGGUUCAAGUUCCCACAAGACCUCAAUCAAAUACCAACGAUGGAUCUGUUAUAGACCUUGUGUUCUCCAACAAUUCUGAAAAGCUUAUCAAUUUGUGUGUUGUUGAAAACCCAGUGGAAAGUGACCACCUAGCUGUUGAGUUUGAGAUUAAUGUUCGCCAUUCCUUGCCAGCGAAAUCUACCAUGCGCUCGUUCUUGAAAUACAGCAAAGUUGACUUUGAUCAUUUGAAUCAACUUUUAUAUCUUUUUUUUCUCUUUCGUAGGAGUUUAACCCACUUUUAUUUCUUUCUCUUUUUGUUACUUUUCUUUUUUUUCUGCUUCUAAUACAUAUUUAAAAGAAAAUGAACAUACAAAAUAAAAACAAUUGCACUUAGGAGGGGUCAGUCCACAAUUGCUGACUAUCUUUCUUGUUUUUUUAACAUCCUUCCACUUGUAAUAAUUUCUAAAUAUGUUUUACCAAGAUAUAAUUAACAUUGUUAACAUCGUACAUUAAAGAAUUUCUUCAAGUCAUUUUCAUAAAAAAAAAA